Syzygium oleosum is the source of this 1432-nucleotide RNA transcript. RefSeq lists it as uncharacterized. NCBI's taxonomy places the organism in Eukaryota, Viridiplantae, Streptophyta, Magnoliopsida, Myrtales, Myrtaceae. The transcript has 3 exons. The record is from RefSeq and is a predicted model, not a curated record.
ACAGGCCGAAAUCUAACUCAAUGAGGAUGCCAUCAACAAAUCAAACUCGACUCUCUUUCCUUUUGGCAUCUUAUCUUUAUCAAAAAAGUCCGAACCAUUUUUAGGUCUCGAGGGAGGACGGGAGGAGUUACUUGGCAGUCAGUAACGAGGAGAAAACGACCAGGAUCCUUUUGGCUGCAAUAAAGAUGUGAUUGAAAGAUCCUUAUUCUUGGCAAUUCCAGGUUAAAGAUGAGGAUAAGGAUCUUUCUCAAACUUUGUGACUAUUCUAAGAUUCGGUGUCAUUCCUGGUCACGAGGUGAUGUUUUAUGCUCUGUUUUGGGGAAAGAACUAGAAAUGUUAUCGUCCUCCCAAGUCGGCGACGUUACUGCUUCGUUUCUUCCAUGACCCACCUCGCGAUCUCUAUGGCCACAACAGACGCCUCUAUGCUCUCUCCCUCCGCCGCCUGAUUAUCGCUCCGAAAUGGAGACAUCCGCCCACGACGGCCUCCGCUUCUGGCAAUUCAUGAUCGCCGGUUCCAUCGCCGGCUCCGUCGAGCAUAUGGCCAUGUUCCCUGUCGACACCGUCAAGACGCAAAUGCAAGCCAUGGGCUCUCGCCCCGCCAAAUCCGUUCCCGUCGGAGUAGCACGCUCGCUCCGAUCCAUUUUGAAGUCGGACGGUCCGAUGGGCCUCUACAGGGGCAUAGCCGCCAUGGGCCUCGGCGCCGGCCCCGCUCAUGCCGUCUACUUCUCCGUCUACGAAGUCUGCAAGAAGUUCUUCUCCGGCGGUGACCCGCGCAGCUCGGCCGCCCACGCCGUUUCCGGAGUGUGCGCGACGGUGGCGAGCGACGCGGUCCUCACGCCGAUGGACAUGGUGAAGCAGAGGCUGCAGUUGAGGGACAGUCCUUAUAAAGGGGUGUGGGAUUGCGUGAGGAGGGUUCUGAAGGAGGAAGGCGUCAGGGCUUUCUAUGCCUCGUAUAGGACCACGGUGGUCAUGAAUGCUCCGUUCACCGCCGUGUAUUUCGCGACGUAUGAGGCGGCGAAAAGGGCUUUGACGGAGGUCUCUCCAGAGAAUGCGAAUGAUGAGCGGUGGGUGGUUCAUGCCACUGCUGGCGCGGCUGCCGGGGCGGCAGCGGCGGCCGUCACCACUCCGCUCGAUGUGGUCAAGACUCAAUUGCAAUGUCAGUCGUUUGGUCAUUGUAGCCGAAGGCCUAGAUUUUAAUCUGCACCAACAGUGAGCGCGGAUAUGUGCUGAUCUUUCCCUGCUUCUGUGUUCAGUGGGUAACAUGCUGUUUGCUAUUGCUGUGCUUUUAUUGGGCGUCUGCGGUUGUGACCGGUUCAAGUCCACUUCAAUCGGAGAUGUUAUUGAGUCGAUAGUGAAGAAGGACGGAUACAGAGGGCUCGUGAGAGGAUGGAUUCCGCGAAUGCUUUUCCAUGCUCCUGCUGCCGCAAUAUGC